This 465-nucleotide ribosomal RNA is filed under the name Vreelandella stevensii. Its description in RNAcentral is "partial 16S ribosomal RNA". It matches the Rfam family "Bacterial small subunit ribosomal RNA", at positions 338 to 795 of the family's 1533-position model. The record is from RNAcentral. Lineage: Bacteria; Pseudomonadati; Pseudomonadota; Gammaproteobacteria; Oceanospirillales; Halomonadaceae.
CCUACGGGUGGCUGCAGUGGGGAAUAUUGGACAAUGGGCGAAAGCCUGAUCCAGCCAUGCCGCGUGUGUGAAGAAGGCCUUCGGGUUGUAAAGCACUUUCAGUGGGGAAGAAAGCCUUGGGGCUAAUACCCUCGAGGAAGGACAUCACCCACAGAAGAAGCACCGGCCAACUCCGUGCCAGCAGCCGCGGUAAUACGGAGGGUGCGAGCGUUAAUCGGAAUUACUGGGCGUAAAGCGCGCGUAGGCGGUCUGAUAAGCCGGUUGUGAAAGCCCCGGGCUCAACCUGGGAACGGCAUCCGGAACUGUCAGGCUAGAGUGCAGGAGAGGAAGGUAGAAUUCCCGGUGUAGCAGUGAAAUGCGUAGAGAUCGGGAGGAAUACCAGUGGCGAAGGCGGCCUUCUGGACUGACACUGACGCUGAGGUGCGAAAGCGUGGGUAGCAAACAGGAUUAGAUACCCUAGUAGUC